UUUCAGUUUCAAAUUGCUCUGAGAAAUGAAUUUUGAGACGUUUAUGUGAAUUUUGAGAGGUAUUAUGAAUUGGGUUUUGAAUUUCAGUCAGAGAAAUGAAUUUUCAUGAUAAUUUGUGGUUGGUAAGGAGUCACGUGAAUUUAGUAAAAGUUGUUUGAAGCUACAUCCCUGAAUUUCCAUGCAAAUAUUAUUAAGGGUGCAAGUUAGAAAUAUAGUUAGAAAGUUUGUUAGUAUUUGGUUAGAGUUGUUAGGCUUACUAGUAUAAAAACAAAGUGUGUAAUCUUCAUUCUUUAGUUAAUACAAAUCCUAUUACUCUCUCUAAAUUCUCUCUCUAGCAUCUCUCUUGCUUCUCUCUGUCUUCUUUCUCCUCCUCUGUACAAAUCCUUUAUCUUUGCAAUGUAGUUAACAAAUAUGCCUUACCUGGAGAGACUCCAUUUUUACUCGGCGUAUUCUUCUCGUGUUCCGUAGUCUUCUCACCGAUAUUGGAUACACCAGCCACCGAAUUAAUGAGUUUAUCUUUGAACAAAAUAAAAAAAAAAAACCGUCAGCCAGGAAAACCCAAACAGCACUAAAAACACUAGAAAAUGCUUGAAAUCGAAAUUUAUCUAAUAUCGAUGUUGUUUCUAGUUUCUACUCACAAAGUAACUAAAUAAAUAAUUACGCAUCUUUAUUGCUCUGAUUAAAAUUAUAGAAACUGAAAAGUCAAAGCUUUACAAGUAAGCAUCAGAGCUCAGCUAAUUGCAGUAUUACUUAGAUUCCAAAACAGAAACACAAAAUUAUAAAUGGAAAGAAUUACAAACACUUCCCAAUUGAAAAACCAAAGGAUCUCUAACUUUAGUACAUCUGUUUGGAUGGCGAGAAAACUGAGGGAAAAAUUCGAAUCGACAAACACUUGAAAAUUCACAAAUUUCACCCAAUAAACCCUAGGAUUCGCAGAAGACAAUAGAAAUGAACCUGGGGAGGGCGCCCCAUCCGAAGUGAACGAGUCGGGCAAUACGGCUGACCCUGAUCCAAGUCCUGGAGCUUGAGCCCGAAUCUGGGAGAAAAUUAGGGCAAGAAAAAUCGAGGGAAUGGCGAGCUUGGAGGGCGCCAUAGGAGCACUCAAUCAUAGCCAACGAAACUCUCACAGCGACAAUUUUUCGAGUUUUUUUUUUUUUUUUUUUUUUUUGAGUUCGCGUUCGAUCUCUUCCGACUACAAAUAUUAAAUAACGUUUUGGUUCCAAUCUUUUAUUACCUUAACGAAAAUGGAUGUAUAACUGUCAACUAAUAAAGCAUAUACGAUCAGUUUCCAAAAAAAUAAAUAAAGCAUAUAUGAGACCAACAAUUGUUUUUUUUUUAUAGAAAAAUUCAAAAUAUUAAAUCAAUUAGUUAUGAUUGAAACAGUAAUUUCAAAGAGUAAUAUUAGGGAGACUAAAUUUACAAACUAAAUAAUGCGUCAUCAAAAUGAAUGAGCACAUUUAUUAACUUUUAAGUAAUAAAUCAAUCAAAAGAUCCAUAUAUUUUAGUUUUCAAAACUUUAUCUAUAAAUUUAAUCUUCAUAACAUUACCCAAUUCCAAAACAACUGACUUAAUUGAUAUUACUUUCAUUUGUUGCUUUGAAUAAAAAAUAGAAAAAUAUUUUAUUAUUAUCAAAAAAAGGAAAAAGAUUUUAUUCUAAUUUAAAACAAAAGUAUGUACUGUAAUUAAAAAAAGGCUAAUUGGCAGAUGUGUGGGCGUGUUUGAAACAGAUAUGUAAUGUAACAUUCACUUUUGUACAAGCAAAAAUGAGUUGUUUGAUUUUGAAUUCUUUUUUUGGUGGAAAUUUUGAAUUUAAUUUUAUUACAAAAAUAUUGUCAGGUAUAAACAACAGGUGCACUUUUUAACACAAAAACAAUUAUGGUGUAUAUUGUAACAUCCCACACCGACCAACGGAGACGGGGUGAUAUGCCCUAUAUGUACAUGCCCAUCUCCAUAUAACACAAGACUUUUUGGGAACUCACCCGCUUCGAAUUCCAUCAUAACUCUGAAGUUAAGCGAGUUUGGGUGAGAGCAAUCAUAGGAUGGGUGACCCACUGAGAUGUGACAGAAUGGUAUCAGAGCCACUUUGCCGUUGGUGUGAGUGUGCUGACGAGGAUGUUAGGCCCCUAAGGGAGGUGGAUUGUGACAUCCCACAUAGACCAACGGAGAGGGGGUGAUGUGGCCUAUAUGUAGAUGCACACCUCCAUAUAGCACGAAGCCUUUUGGGAACUCACUGGCUUCAGAUUUCAUUGGAACUCCGAAGUUAAGCGAGUUUGGGCGAGAGCAAUCCCAUGAUUGGUGACACACUAGGAAGUUACUCGUGAAUUCCUAAAAACAAAACCGUGAGGGCGUGGUCGGGGCCCAAAGCGGACAAUAUCGUGUUACGGCGGAGUCAAGACUAGGAUGUGACGUAUGCUCACCAUACAACGCAUCAUAUGCCACGUGACCUUUCAUCUAACCUUGAUCGAUUUUUUCAAAAUUGAAAAAAGCAACAAAUUAACCAGAGUUAAAUAAAAUGACAUGUAUGAGAUGAUUAUUAAAAAUUAUAUUUAUAUUAACCUAAAUUUCCUUUAAUAUAAAGGAAAAUAGAUGAUAUAAAUUCCUACAUGAAAAGACAACAUAUAUGACUUUCAUUUUUCUCAAAUUUGAAGAUAAAUGUCAUAUUGAAUGCGGAAAAAAAAAAUUCCUUAAUUGAUGACUACCAUGAAAAAUAUCACUCUCAGUUUUUGAAAGAGCAUAAUUAAGGAUUUUUUUUUGCUACAAAAAGUCGAGGUAAAAGAUACAAUUUUUGUUGCAAGAGAUUCACAAAUACAAUUUUUUGACUAUUUGGCACAUGCUAACAACAAGGUGGUGCUGGUGAAUUAUAAAGAGAACCAAGUUUCUCAGAAACAUUUGCAUUUAAUUUGGAAAGAUAAACAUUUUAGGUCAUCCUCUAGCCAAAUUAGAUGAGGACCAUUAUAUUAAACAAGUUGAAUUAAAAAAUAAUUAUAUGAUGAUGGCAUGCUUGCAACAGCAGUAAAAUAUCAUUAAAAAUUUCCAUUAUUUGUUUUUGCAAGAGCGUGAAUUAAAGUAUUUUUUGCUGCAAAAAAUCGAGGUAAAAGAUAAGAUUUUUGUUGCAAGACCUUCAAUAAACUUGUUGGGUCGUACAUAUAUAUAUAUAUAUUUGGACCCUUAGACAGAUACUAACAAAAAGACGGUACUAAUGAAGCAAACAAGGUUUUUCCAAAAAGAUGUUAGCAACCUUUGCUCUAUAUUUGGAAAGAUAAACUUUUUAGGUCAUCCCUUGAAUUCAAAAUAGAAUCCUUCGUUGAUGACACGCUUAAAAGAGCAAUAGAAUAUCAUUGAAAAUCUCACUGCCAGUUUUUGAAAGAGUGUAUAUUGAAGUGUUUUUUCGCUUGAAAAAGUAGGGGUAGAUGAUUCAUAAAGGUAUCAUCUAAGACCAUUAUCAUUAAAGUGCCAUGGAAUUAUUACUUUUUUUUUUAUUAAUUGUAAAAAAAAUUAUUUUGUCUCAGGCACUUUUGUUUAAUAUUUUAUGCCCACCUGCUGUCUUUAUAUCAGUUACCAUUCCCAUUUUAUUUUAUUUUAAGUUUAUAAACUUUUAUUUCUAAUAUUAGAAAAUCAGAAGUCAAUUUUUGUGUCUAAAGGUUUCAUAAAAAAAUGAACGUAAUAGCCCCUCAAACCAAAAAAAAAAAAAAAAGGGACAGAAAAAAUAAAUUUAAAACCUUGAUUUUGUCAGAAAGAAAAAAUUAUAAUUCGUUUUAUUAGGAAAAAAAAAAGAUAAAAAAUGGGACGUGCUGAAAUCCUUGAUUUGUUUUCUUAUAAAAAAAAAAUGAGAUAAAAUGAAUUUAACCCAACCAACCAACACCACUUCUCCAUUUUAGGAGAGCGAGAGCUUCUAAUAUCUCACAUAAACAAAAAUAAGAAGAUACAAAAUAAAACGCAAUGAUAGUAUUGUAACAAAAAACAGAAACUUAAAAUUCUUUUUAUUGAAAAAAAUGAAAGAAAAAAAGAAAACCUAAUAAAAAAGGAUCGUGAUGAAUCCCUCAAAAGAUGGAAACUGAAAAAACUGCAACGUUCAAUGUAAAGCUGUUUCUUCAAAUUGAACUGCCAAUAUCUCCUUCCAUAAAUAUUUUCCCCGAGCUUCUGUAAAUUUUAAAUUUUAAAUUUCUGUUAUGAUCUACUUUUACACUAUGUUUGGAUGAAAGAAGUAAACUUGGAAUUUAGGUAAAAAUCAGAAUUUAUAAAUUGACAUGCAUCAAUUCCCUUGUUUGGAUUUAUAAACAUAGAAAUUUAGAAUUUCCGCGUGGAAAAUAACUUGGAAUUUAAGACCUCAAAUUCCCAAGUUUAAAUUCCAUGUAAAUAUGUAUCAUUUCCCAAUUUCUAUGACUAAGAGUUUAAAAAUAACAAAUUUCGUAUUCAAUUCCACAGUUCUUUUAGGUUUACCAAACAAGAAAAUUCACAAAUUCUAGAAAAUAAAAUCUCGUCAUUUCAAUUUCCGUCAUUUUCAAAUUCCUUAGUAAUCUUAAAUUUCUUCAUCCAAACAUAAUGUUAGCUUUUUUAUUAGAUUAUUGGUUUGCAGACGACCAUACAAUUUUGAAGCUGUUCACAGGUGGGGUUUUCGAUUUCUUCAUCAGAUAAAGGAAAGUGGUAUCUCAAGACUUUUUACCAGAAAUUUUUUUUUUUUAUAAUUAAUCAAUUAUCUAAUAUAUUUAUUUUUUAUUUAAUUUGGUUCUGUAAACAAUUAGGACAUCUGUGUGAAAUUAGGCAAAGGCAGUUUCUUGGUCUGCUACGAGAUGCUGAAUUUUGAUUUAAAAAUUAGGCACUAUCAGCAAUUGUUACAAGGAAAACUAAUUAAAAUAAUUUGAAAACUUUGAAUUUUAAAGAUAAGGACAAAAUAAAAGGUAAAGUGAAUAGUAUCAGGAUUGACUUUUUAGUGUAAAAAUAUAGUUUUUCGUUAAAAUGAACAGUAUCGGAAACUUUUCGUUAAAUUUUCCUAUAAUAUAUUGCAGUCUGUCUAAUAGUGAUAUCAGUUUAGUACACUUUUGUUUUUUUUUUCCCCCUUCAUUUCUGAUUUUCUCUAUCCCUCCCUCUCUCUAUGCUUUGGGUUUUGUAGUGUUUGAAUUCAUGAGUUUGUGUUUGUUCUGAUUUUCUCUAUCCCUGCCUCUCUCUCUAUGCUUUGGGUUUUGUAGUGUUUGAAUUAAUGGGUUUGUAUUUGUUCUUCGAUUAAUGCAGAAGAAUUAAUGGCGGCGGCAACAACUUCUAAAUUUUCAUAUUUUUCAGAUUCGUAGUUUUAUUAAAUGGGUGGUUGAAAUUUGAUCUAAAGGUGUUCUACAUCGGCAAUUCGACCGCGGGUGGAUGCUGCAUAUUGCAUUCAUGCUGUUUCAAAAAGAUUAAGCGAGACCCAUAAUUGGACGGUAUGCUCCCAUUCCAUUGCAAAUUUGCAAUGCCAUCCAUUUUAAUAUCGAUUUUGUAUUGCUGGUUAGUGGACUUAAUAUUUAAUGAUGUAUCUAUUUCCUUUGAAUUUCAAGUGGGGUUUGCUUAAUAUUGUUGCUUACCAUGCCAUACUAUAUUAUUUGAGUUUGCUUGGAAUUAAUUGGUCAAGUACAAAUGUAAACAUUUGACAAAAAAAAGUACAAAUGUAACAGUGUACGUUCUCCAUAGUAUGCUAUACUUAUGAAAAUAUCUUUACAUAAUGAAAAAAAAAUCUGUACGCCAUGAAAGAAUAUGAAUAAGAAUGAAGGGUAAAAAAACCAUAUUUCUUUUAACAUUGCAAAUUAGCGAACUUUUUGAAAGAGGUACAUAAUCAUUUUGAAUUUUUUACAAAUAUGACCUCAAUAAUUUUGAUUUUUUUUACAGCCCUCUCACCCAAAUUUAUAUUCUUUUUUGAGGCACCUAGCGCUCAUGAUAAAUAAAAAGCAUUUGACAAAAGAAGAAAUCGGUAGGGAAAUUACAUAUUAUGGAUUAAUCUAAAGUAAAAAAUAGAGGAAUUUAGAGCAAAAUUACAAAUAAACAUCAUGUAUUUAAAGGAUUUUUAGGGGCGCACAAAGUCUGUUAUUAAUGAAAUUAUGUAUACCGUGUGUAGCACUUCGUAGUAUAAAAACGCUUUUCACACUCAAGGCGAGUGCAAAGGCUAGUGUAUGGAGAAAGUGUGUCCCUCGUUGAGUAGAGGACCAAUUUAAAAUUCAACACCUAUCCAGGCGGCUGAUGUCCCAUUCAACGGCCACGAUUCUCCCACCGCACACGAUCCAAUGCCCACCAACAUUCCUUUAUUGCGCCCGACUUCCGGUUAAUUGGAUUUCGACCACACUAACCUCACCCGCUCACUGCACUAACCCCACCAAUCACCUCGCGACGCGUAACCUCAUUUUAUUAUUCCCGUGGGUUCCUUUUGCCGAUUGGACGAGCUCGCGAUCCAAACAGUCACCGGCCGUGGCGGAAGAUUCUAGGUUGCGUCGCAAAAACGACGGUAAUUCUCGUCGUUUCGACGAAAUUACGUAUCAGUCUCUUCUUCUCCUCAGAAAUUUUCAGUUCCAAAUUGCUCUGAGCUUUUCUUAUUCUGCUUUCGCUUCCGGAGCUCUCUGGGACUUCAGGUGGAUUAUAUUUCUCUGAUUAAUUUUGCUAAUUUCGGUUUUUUUCUUCGAAUUAUUUAUUGUAAUUUGCUGAUUAGUUGCAGUUUAAUUUGCUGAUGAAGUUUUGGGUGAUGACUUUUAUGUGAAAUUUGAGAGGUAUUAUGAAUUGGGUUUUGAAUUUCAGUCAGAGAAAUGAAUUUUCAUGAGAAUUUUUGGUUGCUAGGAGUUUAGGUGAAUUUAGUAAAAGCUGCUUGAAGCUGGCAUCCCUAAGUUUCCAUUUUUUGUUGGAUUACCAUUGUGAAAGAAGUUAACUUUGGAUGCACAUGUAAGUAUGAAUUACACUGGAGGAAAUUGGCGGUGAGUGAUCGAAAUUCCCAAGGGAAAUGGGAGUUAUGAACUAGAUUCGUAUGAGUAUUCGUAUUCGGGUUGUUCUAAGUUUGAGUUCAUGUUCAUGAGCUUGAUGUCGGCACAUUUUCCGUAUAAGAACACUUGAAAGGUUUGGUUUUGGUGGUGUUGUUUGAAGCUGUAUCAAUAAAUUUCAAAUCUUGUUGAAUUCUCAUUGUGAAAGAAAUUACCUUUCUAUGCGUUGCAUCCAAAAAUUACCAUUGUGUGCCCAUACAUGUACACGUUUCAAUGGAGGAUAGAUGGCGAUAUUUUAUACUAGAAUAAAUUGUAGCAAUGGUCCUUUAAUUUUAAUCAAAUUGGAGC
This 7274-nucleotide long non-coding RNA is filed under the name Malus domestica (apple). The record is from RNAcentral. Lineage: Eukaryota; Viridiplantae; Streptophyta; Magnoliopsida; Rosales; Rosaceae.